This 597-nucleotide ribosomal RNA is filed under the name Papiliotrema cf. flavescens DGR1. RNAcentral's name for it is "eukaryotic LSU rRNA". It matches the Rfam family "Eukaryotic large subunit ribosomal RNA", at positions 46 to 632 of the family's 3401-position model. Lineage: Eukaryota; Fungi; Basidiomycota; Tremellomycetes; Tremellales; Rhynchogastremaceae. The record is from RNAcentral.
AUAAGCGGAGGAAAAGAAACUAACAAGGAUUCCCCUAGUAACGGCGAGUGAACCGGGAAGAGCUCAAAUUUGAAAUCUGGCGUGCUCAGUGCGUCCGAGUUGUAAUCUAUAGAGGCGUUUUCCGUGCCGGACUGUGUCUAAGUCCCUUGGAACAGGGUAUCAAAGAGGGUGAUAAUCCCGUACUUGACACAAUGACCGGUGCUCUGUGAUACGUCUUCUACGAGUCGAGUUGUUUGGGAAUGCAGCUCAAAAUGGGUGGUGAGUUCCAUCUAAAGCUAAAUAUUGGCGAGAGACCGAUAGCGAACAAGUACCGUGAGGGAAAGAUGAAAAGCACUUUGGAAAGAGAGUUAAACAGUACGUGAAAUUGUUGAAAGGGAAACGAUUGAAGUCAGUCGUGACUGAGAGGCUCAGCCGGUUCUGCCGGUGUAUUCCCCUCAGUCGGGUCAACAUCAGUUUUGUUCGGUGGAUAAGGGCAGCUGGAAGGUGGCACCUCCGGGUGUGUUAUAGCCAGCUGUCGCAUACAUCGAAUGAGACUGAGGAAUGCAGCUCGCCUUUAUGGCCGGGGUUCGCCCACGUCCGAGCUUAGGAUGUGACAUA